GACGAACGCUGGCGGCGUGCUUAACACAUGCAAGUCGAACGGAAAGGCCCUACUUUUGUGGGGUGCUUGAGUGGCGAACGGGUGAGUAACACGUGAGUAACCUGCCCCUGACUUUGGGAUAACUUCUGGAAACUGCGGCUAAUACCGGAUAGGAGCUCCUGCUGCAUGGGGGGGGUUGGAAAGUUUCGGCGGUUGGGGAUGGACUCGCGGCCUAUCAGCUUGUUGGUGUGGUAGUGGCUUACCAAGGCUUCGACGGGUAGCCGGCCUGAGAGGGUGACCGGCCACAUUGGGACUGAGAUACGGCCCAGACUCCUACGGGAGGCAGCAGUGGGGAAUAUUGCACAAUGGGCGGAAGCCUGAUGCAGCAACGCCGCGUGCGGGAUGACGGCCUUCGGGUUGUAAACCGCUUUCGGCAGUGAAGAAGCGAAAGUGACGGUACCGGGUAAAGAAGCACCGGCUAACUACGUG
Molecule: ribosomal RNA, 468 nt
Filed under: uncultured bacterium
Lineage: Bacteria
Description: partial 16S ribosomal RNA
Rfam family: Bacterial small subunit ribosomal RNA
Source: RNAcentral